RNAcentral lists this ribosomal RNA (670 nucleotides) under uncultured archaeon. RNAcentral's name for it is "bacterial SSU rRNA". It matches the Rfam family "Archaeal small subunit ribosomal RNA", at positions 156 to 827 of the family's 1478-position model. The record is from RNAcentral.
AUAGAACAUUAUGCCUGGAAUGGUUUAUGUUUCAAAUAAUUUAUUGCCGUAGGAUGGGACUGCGGCCUAUCAGUUUGUUGGUGAGGUAAUGGCCCACCAAGACUAUUACAGGUACGGGCUCUGAGAGGAGUAGCCCGGAGAUGGGUACUGAGACACGGACCCAGGCCCUAUGGGGCGCAGCAGGCGAGAAAACUUUGCAAUGUGCGAAAGCACGACAAGGUUAAUCCGAGUGGUUUCUGCUAAAGGAACCUUUUGUCAGUCCUAGAAACACUGAUGAAUAAGGGGUGGGCAAGUUCUGGUGUCAGCCGCCGCGGUAAAACCAGCACCUCAAGUGGUCAGGAUGAUUAUUGGGCCUAAAGCAUCCGUAGCCUGCUUUGUAAGUUUUCGGUUAAAUCCAUACGCUCAACGUAUGGGCUGCCGGGAAUACUGCAAAGCUAGGGAGUGGGAGAGGUAGACGGUACUCGGUAGGAAGGGGUAAAAUCCUUUGAUCUAUUGAUGACCACCUGUGGCGAAGGCGGUCUACCAGAACACGUCCGACGGUGAGGGAUGAAAGCUGGGGGAGCAAACCGGAUUAGAUACCCGGGUAGUCCCAGCUGUAAACUAUGCAAACUCAGUGAUGCAUUGGCUUGAUGCCAAUGCAGUGCUGCAGGGAAGCCGUUAAGUUUGCCGC